Molecule: microRNA precursor, 73 nt
Filed under: Chlorocebus sabaeus (green monkey)
Lineage: Eukaryota; Metazoa; Chordata; Mammalia; Primates; Cercopithecidae
Description: miRNA (ENSCSAG00000023129.1)
Source: RNAcentral
GAAACCUGCUCAGGUGAAUGUCGGAUAUCUGCCGAAAACAGGUAUUGAACAGAGACAUCUGAGCCGGGAAGAG